Molecule: ribosomal RNA, 253 nt
Filed under: uncultured bacterium
Lineage: Bacteria
Description: partial 16S ribosomal RNA
Rfam family: Bacterial small subunit ribosomal RNA
Source: RNAcentral
GACGGAGGGUGCUAGCGUUGUUCGGAAUUACUGGGCGUAAAGGGCUCGUAGGCGGCCAACUAAGUCAGACGUGAAAUCCCUCGGCUUAACCGGGGAACUGCGUCUGAUACUGGAUGGCUUGAGGUUGGGAGAGGGAUGCGGAAUUCCAGGUGUAGCGGUGAAAUGCGUAGAUAUCUGGAGGAACACCGGUGGCGAAGGCGGCAUCCUGGACCAAUUCUGACGCUGAGGAGCGAAAGCCAGGGGAGCAAACGGG